GGAAAGAAAGGGCAACCCUGCUGGAGGCUGUGGCACAGGAACUGUGUCCAAGAAUCUUUGCCCCAUCGCAAAGCAGCAUCCCCCCUCUUCAACCACAGGGAAAAACCCAACUACCCUGUCCUCAUGUCUCCGAGUCUCCAAUCCUGGUACCUGAGUGCCCUCUAUUGCUAUAUCCUGGUUUUUAGUCCCUUGGUCCUCAGCUAGCAUGGCAAUCUUAUAAAUCAGCCCACAGCGAGACUACAGUGGAUGCUUCAUUUUUCCUCCCAGUGAUGGAUGUGAUCAGGAGCCUCCUGUCCUAAUCCAAACAACAGGCUGAUAGUUAAGUCUUGAGACAAGGCUACAGCACUGCCUGGUAUUUCACAAUAUUGGAGCCCAAAUUGGAAUGAGCCCAGGAAAUGGCAUCCUCCUCAACUCAUACAUCUAUUUAUUGUUAGAGAUUUAGAAAAAUGAGAGGCUACUGGAAAACCUCAAAUUUAUGUGAAAACCAAAGAAACAACUUGGCAUUGGUUUGGAGGGUCAGUAGACCAGGGGAGGGGCAGGAGAAGAUUAUGCGAUCCUGACAUGAUUAUGGAGAUUAAAGCUGGGUUUUCAGACCUCUUCCUUCCACCA
Molecule: long non-coding RNA, 609 nt
Organism: Mesocricetus auratus (golden hamster)
Lineage: Eukaryota; Metazoa; Chordata; Mammalia; Rodentia; Cricetidae
Exons: 2
Source: RefSeq, a predicted model, not a curated record